This 248-nucleotide long non-coding RNA is filed under the name Brassica napus (rape). RNAcentral's name for it is "long non-coding RNA (BNAP_LNC009768)". The record is from RNAcentral. Lineage: Eukaryota; Viridiplantae; Streptophyta; Magnoliopsida; Brassicales; Brassicaceae.
AUGUUAUUUAUAAAGUCGAACACAAACUGGAUAUGGUUUUACAAUUGGUGAAACUGCAAUUACAUAGCGUUCCGAGAAACGAUCCUAGGUUUCAACUUCUUCAAAGCAUGUCGAGAAUAUAUGUGGCUUCGAUCAAUGAGUCACCACAUAUAAGAAUUAAGCAGAAUAGUCAACGAGAAAGAGCCGACGAAAACAUUUGAAGAUAAUUGGCUUGUGUCGCUCAACUCAAAUAAGGUUACAUUAAGAGU